RNAcentral lists this ribosomal RNA (765 nucleotides) under uncultured Streptococcus sp. RNAcentral describes it as "bacterial SSU rRNA". It matches the Rfam family "Bacterial small subunit ribosomal RNA", at positions 28 to 776 of the family's 1533-position model. Lineage: Bacteria; Bacillati; Bacillota; Bacilli; Lactobacillales; Streptococcaceae. The record is from RNAcentral.
GACGAACGCUGGCGGCGUGCCUAAUACAUGCAAGUAGAACGCUGAAGAGAGGAGCUUGCUCUUCUUGGAUGAGUUGCGAACGGGUGAGUAACGCGUAGGUAACCUGCCCUGUAGCGGGGGAUAACUAUUGGAAACGAUAGCUAAUACCGCAUAACAAUGGAUGACACAUGUCAUUUAUUUGAAAGGGGCAAUUGCUCCACUACAAGAUGGACCUGCGUUGUAUUAGCUAGUAGGUGAGGUAACGGCUCACCUAGGCGACGAUACAUAGCCGACCUGAGAGGGUGAUCGGCCACACUGGGACUGAGACACGGCCCAGACUCCUACGGGAGGCAGCAGUAGGGAAUCUUCGGCAAUGGGGGCAACCCUGACCGAGCAACGCCGCGUGAGUGAAGAAGGUUUUCGGAUCGUAAAGCUCUGUUGUAAGUCAAGAACGAGUGUGAGAGUGGAAAGUUCACACUGUGACGGUAGCUUACCAGAAAGGGACGGCUAACUACGUGCCAGCAGCCGCGGUAAUACGUAGGUCCCGAGCGUUGUCCGGAUUUAUUGGGCGUAAAGCGAGCGCAGGCGGUUUGAUAAGUCUGAAGUUAAAGGCUGUGGCUCAACCAUAGUUCGCUUUGGAAACUGUCAAACUUGAGUGCAGAAGGGGAGAGUGGAAUUCCAUGUGUAGCGGUGAAAUGCGUAGAUAUAUGGAGGAACACCGGUGGCGAAAGCGGCUCUCUGGUCUGUAACUGACGCUGAGGCUCGAAAGCGUGGGGAGCGAACAGG